RNAcentral lists this long non-coding RNA (657 nucleotides) under Pan troglodytes (chimpanzee). RNAcentral describes it as "lincRNA". Lineage: Eukaryota; Metazoa; Chordata; Mammalia; Primates; Hominidae. The record is from RNAcentral.
GAGAGAAAUCAUGUGAGCUUGAGAAGGAAUCAGAUUCUGCAUAUAUUUCCAAGUUAACAUGAACAAGAUUUUCUGAAAGACUGCUAUGGAGUCUGAGAAAAAAUGUCAAAGGUAGUGCCAAAAUUGUCACUUAAAGAACUGCAGGAAUGGAGUUGGCAUUUACAGAAUUUGGAAGAGAAGCAGGUUUAGUGAUAAAGACCAGAAGCACAGAGCUAAGCAUAUUAAAUAUUGAGGACAUGAAGAGGAAAGAACUGACAGAGGAGGUGAAGAAAGGUGAUCAGGAAGAGCCAUCAAAGUGUUAUCCUGGAAUUCAAGUGAAGACAGUGUUUCAAAGUGGAAAUGAACAGUGUCCUGUAACCCUCAGAGUGAGACUAGAGUCAGAAUGCAAGCUUUUCUCAUUUGAAAUCUAUUGAAUAAACAUCAGUAAAAGAAGCAAUCCAAGUUCUCAUGCCAAAUAUGUAUAUGUCCAAGACCAGGAUUUCUUCAUGUCUGAAUGUGGAUAUGGAGCCUAGAGUACUAGCAGGGUAAGUCCAGGUCCUUACCUCCACCUAAAAGUUCUGCCAUCAAGGAACAUCUGCUCAUUAUCUUCUGUCCACACAUCAAAUGACUUCAAUGUGAUCCCUGGAUGUUCUCCAAAGAGCUGAAAGGAAAUAAAUA